Molecule: ribosomal RNA, 549 nt
Filed under: uncultured bacterium
Lineage: Bacteria
Description: bacterial SSU rRNA
Rfam family: Bacterial small subunit ribosomal RNA
Source: RNAcentral
UGGGGAAUAUUGCACAAUGGGCGCAAGCCUGAUGCAGCCAUGCCGCGUGUGUGAAGAAGGCCUUCGGGUUGUAAAGCACUUUCAGCGGGGAGGAAGGCGGUGAGGUUAAUAACCUCAUCGAUUGACGUUACCCGCAGAAGAAGCACCGGCUAACUCCGUGCCAGCAGCCGCGGUAAUACAGAGGGUGCGAGCGUUAAUCGGAUUUACUGGGCGUAAAGCGUGCGUAGGCGGCUUAUUAAGUCGGAUGUGAAAUCCCCGAGCUUAACUUGGGAAUUGCAUUCGAUACUGGUGAGCUAGAGUAUGGGAGAGGAUGGUAGAAUUCCAGGUGUAGCGGUGAAAUGCGUAGAGAUCUGGAGGAAUACCGAUGGCGAAGGCAGCCAUCUGGCCUAAUACUGACGCUGAGGUACGAAAGCAUGGGGAGCAAACAGGAUUAGAUACCCUGGUAGUCCAUGCCGUAAACGAUGUCUACUAGCCGUUGGGGCCUUUGAGGCUUUAGUGGCGCAGCUAACGCGAUAAGUAGACCGCCUGGGGAGUACGGUCGCAAGACUA